RNAcentral lists this transfer RNA (73 nucleotides) under Salmo salar (Atlantic salmon). It matches the Rfam family "tRNA". Rfam says of the family: Transfer RNA (tRNA) molecules are approximately 80 nucleotides in length. Lineage: Eukaryota; Metazoa; Chordata; Actinopteri; Salmoniformes; Salmonidae. RNAcentral also lists the same sequence under 1 other name. The record is from Rfam by way of RNAcentral.
ACCCAUGUGGCUCAGUUGGUAGAGCAUAGCACUUGCAACGCCAGGGUUGUGUGUUCGAUUCCUACCGGGGAUC